CAUGCAAGUCGUACGAGAGUUUUUAACUCAAGUGGCGGACGGGUGAGUAACACGUGAGAAUUUACCUUUAGGAGGGGGAUAACAAUUGGAAACGAUUGCUAAUACCCCAUAUGCUUAAGAGUGAAAUAGAUUUAUCUGCCUAAAGAAAAGCUCGCGGCUGAUUAGCUUGUUGGUAAGGUAAUGGCUUACCAAGGCGACGAUCAGUAUCUGGUUUGAGAGGACGAUCAGACACACUGGAACUGAGACACGGUCCAGACUCCUACGGGAGGCAGCAGUGGGGAAUUUUCCGCAAUGGGCGAAAGCCUGACGGAGCAAUACCGCGUGAGGGAAGACUGCCUAUGGGUUGUAAACCUCUUUUUUCAGGGAGGAAGAUAUGACGUGUACCUGAAGAAUAAGCAUCGGCUAACUCCGUGCCAGCAGCCGCGGUAAGACGGAGGAUGCAAGUGUUAUCCGGAAUCACUGGGCGUAAAGCGUCUGUAGGUGGUUUAAUAAGUCGGCUGUUAAAUCUUGAAGCUUAACUUCAAAACUGCAGUCGAAACUAUUAGACUAGAGUAUAGUAGGGGUAAAGGGAAUUUCCAGUGGAGCGGUGAAAUGCGUAGA
Molecule: ribosomal RNA, 600 nt
Filed under: uncultured cyanobacterium
Lineage: Bacteria; Bacillati; Cyanobacteriota
Description: bacterial SSU rRNA
Rfam family: Bacterial small subunit ribosomal RNA
Source: RNAcentral